GAUGAACGCUGGCGGCGUGCUUAACACAUGCAAGUCGAACGAAGCGUCCCGCCCGAUGAAGUGGAGUGCUUGCACAAAGCAGAAUCAAUUGGGAUGACUUAGUGGCGGACGGGUGAGUAACGCGUGGGUAACCUGCCUUACACAGGGGGACAACAGUUGGAAACGACUGCUAAUACCGCAUAAGCGCACGGUAUCGCAUGAUACAGUGUGAAAAGAUUUAUCGGUGUAAGAUGGACCCGCGUCUGAUUAGAUAGUUGGUGAGGUAACGGCCCACCUAGUCGACGAUCAGUAGCCGGACUGAGAGGUUGAACGGCCACAUUGGAACUGAGAUACGGUCCAGACUCC
Molecule: ribosomal RNA, 345 nt
Filed under: uncultured Butyrivibrio sp.
Lineage: Bacteria; Bacillati; Bacillota; Clostridia; Lachnospirales; Lachnospiraceae
Description: bacterial SSU rRNA
Rfam family: Bacterial small subunit ribosomal RNA
Source: RNAcentral